Molecule: ribosomal RNA, 750 nt
Filed under: uncultured bacterium
Lineage: Bacteria
Description: bacterial SSU rRNA
Rfam family: Bacterial small subunit ribosomal RNA
Source: RNAcentral
AGAGUUUGAUCCUGGCUCAGAGCGAACGCUGGCGGCAUGCUUAACACAUGCAAGUCGCACGGCCGGGGGCAACUCCGGCAGUGGCGGACGGGUGAGUAACGCGUAGGUAUCUAUCCUCGGGUGGGGGACAACUGUGGGAAACUACAGCUAAUACCGCAUGACGACUGAGGUCCAAAGCUCGCGAGAGCGCCUGGGGCGGAGCCUGCGUACGAUUAGCUAGUUGGUGGGGUAAAGGCCUACCAAGGCGACGAUCGUUAGCUGGUCUGAGAGGAUGAUCAGCCACAUUGGGACUGAGACACGGCCCAAACUCCUACGGGAGGCAGCAGUGGGGAAUAUUGGACAAUGGGCGCAAGCCUGAUCCAGCAAUGCCGCGUGUGUGAAGAAGGUCUUCGGAUUGUAAAGCACUUUCGACGGGGACGAUGAUGACGGUACCCGUAGAAGAAGCCCCGGCUAACUUCGUGCCAGCAGCCGCGGUAAUACGAAGGGGGCUAGCGUUGCUCGGAAUGACUGGGCGUAAAGGGCGCGUAGGCGGAUGGCACAGUCAGAUGUGAAAUUCCCGGGCUCAACCUGGGGGCUGCAUUUGAUACGUGUGGUCUGGAGUGAGGAAGAGGGUCGUGGAAUUCCCAGUGUAGAGGUGAAAUUCGUAGAUAUUGGGAAGAACACCGGUGGCGAAGGCGGCGACCUGGUCCUUGACUGACGCUGAGGCGCGAAAGCGUGGGGAGCAAACAGGAUUAGAUACCCUAGUAGUCC